UGGUGGAGCGAUUUGUCUGGUUAAUUCCGAUAACGAACGAGACUCUAGCCUGCUAAAUAGGUGGCGGGUUUAAUGAAAAUUUUAAACGGGGAGUAGGAGACUCUGGGAUCAGGUUGGCGUUCGUUGGCCGUGGUUUCGGCGGGCUGCGGGUGCGGCAACGUGCUCGUGGUUCGUCGGGCUGCGGUCCGCGGGCGUCAGCCCCCGGAGACCCUCCUGCUCUCACGUCCGUCACAGCUCUUCUUAGAGGGACAAGCGGCGUCCAGCCGCGUGACAGUGAGCAAUAACA
RNAcentral lists this ribosomal RNA (286 nucleotides) under uncultured eukaryote. RNAcentral describes it as "partial 18S ribosomal RNA". It matches the Rfam family "Eukaryotic small subunit ribosomal RNA", at positions 1299 to 1458 of the family's 1831-position model. The record is from RNAcentral.